GACUGCUCAGGUGGCCUAGUGGUUAGAGCGUCCGCCUCGGAUGCGGGAGGUUGUGGGUUCAAUCAUCGGCCAAGUCA
Molecule: non-coding RNA, 77 nt
Organism: Potamilus streckersoni
Lineage: Eukaryota; Metazoa; Mollusca; Bivalvia; Unionida; Unionidae
Source: the annotation of a GenBank genome assembly